Molecule: ribosomal RNA, 237 nt
Filed under: uncultured bacterium
Lineage: Bacteria
Description: partial 16S ribosomal RNA
Rfam family: Bacterial small subunit ribosomal RNA
Source: RNAcentral
UACGUAGGGUGCGAGCGUUAAUCGGAAUUACUGGGCGUAAGCGUGCGCAGGCGGUUUUGUAAGACAGAUGUGAAAUCCCCGGGCUCAACCUGGGAACUGCGUUUGUGACUGCAAGACUUGAGUGCGGCAGAGGGGGGGUAGAAUUCCACGUGUAGCAGUGAAAUGCGUAGAGAUGUGGAGGAAUACCGAUGGCGAAGGCAGCCCCCUGGGUCGACACUGACGCUCAUGCACGAAAGC